Molecule: ribosomal RNA, 492 nt
Filed under: uncultured bacterium
Lineage: Bacteria
Description: partial 16S ribosomal RNA
Rfam family: Bacterial small subunit ribosomal RNA
Source: RNAcentral
AGUGAACGCUGGCGGUGGGCCUAACACAUGCAAGUCGAACGGCAGCACAGUAAGAGCUUGCUCUUACGGGUGGCGAGUGGCGGACGGGUGAGGAAUACAUCGGAAUCUACUUUUUCGUGGGGGAUAACGUAGGGAAACUUACGCUAAUACCUCAUACGACCUACGGGUGAAAGCAGGGGAUCUUCGGACCUUGCGCGAUUGAAUGAGCCGAUGUCGGAUUAGCUAGUUGGCGGGGUAAAGGCCCACCAAGGCGACGAUCCGUAGCUGGUCUGAGAGGAUGAUCAGCCACACUGGAACUGGGACACGGUCCAGACUCCUACGGGAGGCAGCAGUGGGGAAUAUUGGACAAUGGGCGCAAGCCUGAUCCAGCCAUACCGCGUGGGUGAAGAAGGCCUUCGGGUUGUAAAGCCCUUUUGUUGGGAAAGAAAAGCAGCAGGUUAAUACCCCGCUGUUCUGACGGUACCCAAAGAAUAAGCACCGGCUAACUUCGUG